CUGGAUGUUGACUAGCUGUGAAUCUCCGUGUUAAUUACUGACUACCAGAAUAUGUUUCUGCGAUAAGGGUUCAAAGAUGUGCUAAUCUAUGCUAUUAGGAAUCAUUUUAAUACUAUGUCUUGUUAGCAGAACAGUGGUAGGUUCUCCCCUAGGGCCUAUGACCUUUGUAACUAUAGGAUCUUCACAUUUUUAUAAUUCGCCAUUUUUACAUCUGCUUUGCCAUAGGAAAAAAUAAUCAUGUUAGUACAUAUGAAAAAUGGCAACAGUGUGUGACGUUUCCUGUACACGUGUGUGUGUUGUGUGUGUGUGUGUGUGUGUGUGUGUGUGUGUGUGUGUAAAACUGUGGGCUUUCCCAUCCAUGCAUAAGUUUCCCCGAAAUGAUUCUGAGACUUAAGUAUAGUUGUGAAUAAAUGCCUAGGCCUUCAGCUUGGGCCAGUUCUCUCUCUAACUAGCUCAUAACUUAGUUAUCGGUUUAUUCUAUUCUAAGUCCUGCCACGUGCAUGGCAGGUUAAAUGAUCCUCAGUUUCACAUAACCUUUUUCCCCUGUGUCCCCGUGAAUCUCCCAGCAUUCCUCACUCCCGGAAGUCCCACCUUCUAAUCCUACCUCAGCUCUCCGGCCAACCAGCUUUGAUUAACAGGGGAAAGCUUUUACACAGUGCACAAGGGAUUAUCUCUACCUGCACAAUAACUGACUAGACAGGAGCUCUACUUCUCAACUAUCUCCCUGGCUCUUUCGGGCACUGCUUUAAUUUUCUUGCUGUUUCUCCUUUAGAAGAAGACUGACUCAGAUUAAGAACACCGGAUGAAGUGAUGAUGAUGAUGACGACGACGACGACGACGAUGAUGAUGUUAGAAGACAUAUUAAUUAAGAAUACAGAGCACUCUUCCAGAGGACUAAGAGAAAGACAAUUCUGAGCUACAAGCACGCGAUUCCAUGUCACCCAGUCAAUCACCACGGAAACCUUAUGAGGGCAGUGCUGUCAGCAUUAAGUAUUUCCCAGGUGAGGAAACUAAGGUGCAGAGAAAGCAAGCAAUGUCCAAGCCACACACAGCCAAGAAUUCGUAGUCAGGGAAGUCGCACUGUGCAGUCCCGCCCCUGAGAACUGUGGAGCUGGGCUGAACAAGGUGGACCAGCAGUGUGAGUGCUGUGCUUGAGAUUCCUAGGGUGGGUUCUUCUGCUGAGUCGCUCCACCCACGCUUCUCCAGAGUGCACCACCCACCUGUCACUCACUCUCUUCUGCCCUAUAAGCAUCUCACAGAAAGCCCCACCUACUACUAUGUAGAAAGACGCCAUAUUACAUACCUCAGCCUCCCUGAUACUGAGGCUUACUCGCUGGGUAAAAUCAGGUGCAUUCCUCAACUGCUGUGUGGUUCGGUCUCCAUUUUUAGAAAAGGAUGCUAGAAAUGUCUAGCUCACAUGGUUACUUCCAAGAUGAAUCAGAGGACCAGGAUAGUGCCCGGCACAUACUGCUCUUUCAGGAAACAUUAGUUGCUCCAGCACAGAAAGACAAAUCCCAUGUGGUCUCCCUUAUGUGUGGAAGCUACAAUCUUACCAAAGUGUGAAAAUGAUGGGAGGAGGGAGAAGUUGAGGGGUGCACAGUGUUGCUGUAAGGAGGAACAAUGUCUAAUGCCCCAGAGCAUAGUGGGAUAGCCAUGGUUGGCAACUACUUUAUAUUCUUCCGUAGCUAGCAUAUAGGAUGCUGGAUGGCCUCGGUAGAAAAAAAUAAUGUCUGAGGCAAUGGCUAUGCCAAUCACCCUAAUCUGCUGAUUAAAUAUUAAAUACAAGAUACUGAAAUGCCACACUCUAUCUCAUAAAUACGGAUAAUUACUGUGUCAACUAAAUGCAAAAGUGCAUUUUAAGACAACUAUUAUUAAUAGUUCUAUAUAAUAUUCUUCUUCCUGUUAUUUGGUACUUCAGCACACACACCAAGAAAACAACUGACAUAGAAUAAAUCUGUCAUCUGGACACUCAAUGAAGCACAUUUUAACCCCUUCCACUCAACAAGUAUUCACUGAGCACUAUCUUUGUGCAAGGCAGUAGGAAGCAGUUUGAAAAGGUUGCAGACCCAGGCUUGUCUACAGUACAACCGGGCAGGGAGAAGCAGAUGGCGAAGAGCCCCAGAGGACAGGCAUCUGUUGGCACUGGAGUCUAAGGAUGAUGUCAAGGGGAGGCAGGGUCCCAGCUGGGAUCUUGGGGAAAGCAGGAACAAGCAGAGUAAGCCAGUGUUGUAAGCAGAUAAAGGAUCCUGUGCAAAGCCUUCUGGGAGUUAGCGAGUGAGGCAUGCUUGUAAAUAAACUGAAAUGAAAUGCAAAGGGGGCAGGGACUGGGAGAGCUUGGUGAAGCCUCUGAGCCCUGGUUCCAGCACCCAUGUGGGCAGCUCACAACUGCCUGGGACUCUAACACCAGGGCAUCUGAUGACCUCCUUAGAACUGAGGGCAAGCGCAUGUGCACAAACCCACACAGAGGCACACAUGGUUAAAGAUUAAUGACACACAUUAAAACCGGAAUCAUACGUGGGCUGUGCAAAGAGUGUCUGCUCAGAAAUACUACCUCCAUUCACACCAGGCUGUAAGGGGAGUCUGAGGUUCUCACCCCGAGGUCAGUGAAGGGGUCAGUGAGCAAGCCUUACAGACUCAGUGUUUCCUACCUGUGGUAGUGGACACCAUUAGGGAGACAGAGACAUGGAUCUGGAGCUGACCACAGUGAAGCUGUGGUUGAUGAGUGCCCACCCUCGAGAAAGGACAAUGAAGCAAGCAGGGGGGAUGAAGUUGAGAUUCAGCCUGAGAGUCCCCAGGCUGGAGGUAUGCAGGCCUGGGAGGUUUCAAGCAAGGCUCCCUACUGGUCUCUACCUUGGACCACUAGACGUAGGGGUGGGGAGUCUUGAUGUUUUUCUCUCAGUCAGAGCCCUGGGGCAAUUGUGUGUGUGUGUGUGUGUGU
This 2938-nucleotide small RNA is filed under the name Rattus norvegicus (Norway rat). Its description in RNAcentral is "uncharacterized LOC102550123". The record is from RNAcentral. Lineage: Eukaryota; Metazoa; Chordata; Mammalia; Rodentia; Muridae.